CUCCCCAUAGCUCAAUUGGAUAGAGCGUCACCCUGCGGAGGUGAAGGUCACAGGUUCGACUCCUGUUGGGGAGACCA
Molecule: transfer RNA, 77 nt
Filed under: Nautilia sp.
Lineage: Bacteria; Pseudomonadati; Campylobacterota; Epsilonproteobacteria; Nautiliales; Nautiliaceae
Description: tRNA-Arg
Rfam family: tRNA
About the family: Transfer RNA (tRNA) molecules are approximately 80 nucleotides in length. Their secondary structure includes four short double-helical elements and three loops (D, anti-codon, and T loops).
Source: RNAcentral